Molecule: transfer RNA, 65 nt
Filed under: Kilauella sp. KispEL
Lineage: Eukaryota; Metazoa; Arthropoda; Insecta; Psocodea; Elipsocidae
Description: tRNA-Gln
Source: RNAcentral
UACAUUAUGGUGUAUAGGCACGAAAGAUUUUGAUUCUUUAGGAAUAUCUAGUUUAUUUAAUGUAA